CGGCGGACGGGUGAGUAAUGCCUAGGAAAUUGCCCUGAUGUGGGGGAUAACCAUUGGAAACGAUGGCUAAUACCGCAUGAUGCCUACGGGCCAAAGAGGGGGACCUUCGGGCCUCUCGCGUCAGGAUAUGCCUAGGUGGGAUUAGCUAGUUGGUGAGGUAAGGGCUCACCAAGGCGACGAUCCCUAGCUGGUCUGAGAGGAUGAUCAGCCACACUGGAACUGAGACACGGUCCAGACUCCUACGGGAGGCAGCAGUGGGGAAUAUUGCACAAUGGGCGCAAGCCUGAUGCAGCCAUGCCGCGUGUGUGAAGAAGGCCUUCGGGUUGUAAAGCACUUUCAGUCGUGAGGAAGGUAGUGUAGUUAAUAGCUGCAUUAUUUGACGUUAGCGACAGAAGAAGCACCGGCUAACUCCGUGCCAGCAGCCGCGGUAAUACGGAGGGUGCGAGCGUUAAUCGGAAUUACUGGGCGUAAAGCGCAUGCAGGUGGUUUGUUAAGUCAGAUGUGAAAGCCCGGGGCUCAACCUCGGAAUUGCAUUUGAAACUGGCAGACUAGAGUACUGU
This 560-nucleotide ribosomal RNA is filed under the name Vibrio sp. NHV811-14. Its description in RNAcentral is "bacterial SSU rRNA". It matches the Rfam family "Bacterial small subunit ribosomal RNA", at positions 96 to 652 of the family's 1533-position model. Lineage: Bacteria; Pseudomonadati; Pseudomonadota; Gammaproteobacteria; Vibrionales; Vibrionaceae. The record is from RNAcentral.